RNAcentral lists this ribosomal RNA (1434 nucleotides) under uncultured Ralstonia sp. RNAcentral describes it as "bacterial SSU rRNA". It matches the Rfam family "Bacterial small subunit ribosomal RNA". Lineage: Bacteria; Pseudomonadati; Pseudomonadota; Betaproteobacteria; Burkholderiales; Burkholderiaceae. The record is from RNAcentral.
AAGUCGAACGGCAGCAUGAUCUAGCUUGCUAGAUUGAUGGCGAGUGGCGAACGGGUGAGUAAUACAUCGGAACGUGCCCUGUAGUGGGGGAUAACUAGUCGAAAGAUUAGCUAAUACCGCAUACGACCUGAGGGUGAAAGUGGGGGACCGCAAGGCCUCAUGCUAUAGGAGCGGCCGAUGUCUGAUUAGCUAGUUGGUGAGGUAAAGGCUCACCAAGGCGACGAUCAGUAGCUGGUCUGAGAGGACGAUCAGCCACACUGGGACUGAGACACGGCCCAGACUCCUACGGGAGGCAGCAGUGGGGAAUUUUGGACAAUGGGGGCAACCCUGAUCCAGCAAUGCCGCGUGUGUGAAGAAGGCCUUCGGGUUGUAAAGCACUUUUGUCCGGAAAGAAAUCGCACUUACUAAUAUUAGGUGUGGAUGACGGUACCGGAAGAAUAAGGACCGGCUAACUACGUGCCAGCAGCCGCGGUAAUACGUAGGGUCCAAGCGUUAAUCGGAAUUAUUGGGCGUAAAGCGUGCGCAGGCGGUUGUGCAAGACCGAUGUGAAAUCCCCGGGCUUAACCUGGGAAUUGCAUUGGUGACUGCGCGGCUAGAGUGUGUCAGAGGGGGGUAGAAUUCCACGUGUAGCAGUGAAAUGCGUAGAGAUGUGGAGGAAUACCGAUGGCGAAGCAGCCCCCUGGGAUAACACUGACGNUCAUGCACGAANGCGUGGGGAGCAAACAGGAUUAGAUACCNNGUAGUCACGCCUAAACGAUGUCAACUAGUGUUGGGGAUUCAUUUCCUUAGUAACGUAGCUAACGCGUGAAGUUGACCGCCUGGGGAGUACGGUCGCAAGAUUAAAACUCAAAGGAAUUGACGGGGACCCGCACAAGCGGUGGAUGAUGUGGAUUAAUUCGAUGCAACGCGAAAAACCUUACCUACCCUUGACAUGCCACUAACGAAGCAGAGAUGCAUUAGGUGCUCGAAAGAGAAAGUGGACACAGGUGCUGCAUGGCUGUCGUCAGCUCGUGUCGUGAGAUGUUGGGUUAAGUCCCGCAACGAGCGCAACCCUUGUCUCUAGUUGCUACGAAAGGGCACUCUAGAGAGACUGCCGGUGACAAACCGGAGGAAGGUGGGGAUGACGUCAAGUCCUCAUGGCCCUUAUGGGUAGGGCUUCACACGUCAUACAAUGGUGCAUACAGAGGGUUGCCAAGCCGCGAGGUGGAGCUAAUCCCAGAAAAUGCAUCGUAGUCCGGAUCGUAGUCUGCAACUCGACUACGUGAAGCUGGAAUCGCUAGUAAUCGCGGAUCAGCAUGCCGCGGUGAAUACGUUCCCGGGUCUUGUACACACCGCCCGUCACACCAUGGGAGUGGGUUUUGCCAGAAGUAGUUAGCCUAACCGCAAGGGGGGCGAUUACCACGGCAGGGUUCAUGACUGGGGUGAAGUCGUAAC